UAGUCCUUGACUAUCACCUUGACUAUGCGUACCUUUGUUGUUUCCUCGGCAGGUCUCCUGCCAGUGGAACCCUCUACAACCCUUUUGCAAUAGCAUCAAACUGA
This 104-nucleotide ribosomal RNA is filed under the name Phoma herbarum. RNAcentral describes it as "partial 18S ribosomal RNA". The record is from RNAcentral. Lineage: Eukaryota; Fungi; Ascomycota; Dothideomycetes; Pleosporales; Didymellaceae.